GAUGAACGCUGGCGGCGUGCCUAAUACAUGCGAGUCGAGCGAACAGACGAGGAGCUUGCUCCUCUGACGUUAGCGGCGGACGGGCGAGUAACACGUGGAUAACCUACCUAUAAGACUGGGAUAACUUCGGGAAACCGGAGCUAAUACCGGAUAAUAUAUUGAACCGCAUGGUUCAAUAGUGAAAGACGGUUUUGCUGUCACUUAUAGAUGGAUCCGCGCCGCAUUAGCUAGUUGGUAAGGUAACGGCUUACCAAGGCAACGAUGCGUAGCCGACCUGAGAGGGUGAUCGGCCACACUGGAACUGAGACACGGUCCAGACUCCUACGGGAGGCAGCAGUAGGGAAUCUUCCGCAAUGGGCGAAAGCCUGACGGAGCAACGCCGCGUGAGUGAUGAAGGUCUUCGGAUCGUAAAACUCUGUUAUUAGGGAAGAACAAAUGUGUAAGUAACUAUGCACGUCUUGACGGUACCUAAUCAGAAAGCCACGGCUAACUACGUG
Molecule: ribosomal RNA, 497 nt
Filed under: uncultured bacterium
Lineage: Bacteria
Description: partial 16S ribosomal RNA
Rfam family: Bacterial small subunit ribosomal RNA
Source: RNAcentral